AUAAAGUUGUUUGAAGCGUCUAUGAUAAACAGAGAGCAAAUUAGAAUGCAAGGAAGUUGACAUGUCAUCACUUCAUUUUUUUGCGCCUGCGCAUAAAUCUGAGAAGCGUGAGUUUGUCAUCAUUGUUUAUCUAGACAUAGGAUAGGUUGUGUGAAAAUAUUACUGAUGUUUAGCGUUAAAAAUGGACCAAAAGAUUAAUGCUAAGCACCGUUUGACAUGUUUGAACGAACGUAAAUAGAUUAUUUACUAGUUUUUUUUAGCUUUUCGGCGUGAUUUUACACCCCCCCCACCACGUUUUGUGGGAGCAUAAUGAACGCUAACUACUUGUUGUUAUUUGGACAUAAAUUAUGAACUUUGUCAAAAGAAACCACAUUUGUUCCGGACCUGGGAUCCCUGGCAGUGCCUUCUGAUGGAGAUAAUCAAAGUUGAUGGAGAAGUUGGGACCAUUGUUCUCGGGAGUCACACAAUUCGUAGAGAAUAACAUCAGGAUCUGCUUAUCAUCCAACGACUGUUUUGUCAAGAUGCACCUUGUUCCCCGAGAAGGUGUCAGUUAUCCCAUCUACUCGACAGGGGGAGCCACAGUCCAUAUGGACUCAUUGGUGAUGAUGGUGGAAGACCCAUCAAGAUGAUGCGCAUGUGUGCUCAGCCCUCCUACCUGAUCUACUCCAGACCCAGCAUCGCUCCUCGUUUUGCCGACCCUCCACGUAUCUGUUAUGUGAAGUACCCUGUGCCUACCUACAUAUGCUUAUGAUGAUUUUAAAGAUUGCCGAAUACCCAAGUGUAACGGCGUUCGUCGGAAGAAGGGGACCAAAGCGCAGCGUGGUAUGUGUUCAUGAUUUUUAUUAUCAAAAACACUCAAACAAAAAUAACAAAACAAAAAGCCAACAGUUCCGUCAGGUACACUAUACAAAACAGAAAACAACUACCCACAAACACAGGUGGGAAAAAGGCUGCCUAAGUAUGAUUCCCAAUCAGAGACGAUAGACAGCUGCCUCUGAUUGGAAACCAUACUCGGCCAAAACAAAGAAAUAGAUAGCAUAGAAUGCCCACCCCACAUCACACCCUGACCUAACCACACAGAGAAAAACGGAUCUCUCAGGUCAGGGCGUGACACCAAGUGUCCACCGACUCCUCCCCAAACUAUAACCAUUAACACCGUCACAAACUAGUUAGGGCUGUCUGUAUCCAUAUCUACUGAAUAACAUGGAGUGUAUCAAACUAGUUAGGGCUGUCUGUAUCCAUAUCUACUGAAUAACAUGGAGUGUAUCAAACUAGUUAGGGCUGUCUGUAUCCAUAUCUACUGAAUAACAUGGAUGUAUCAAACUAGUUAGGGCUGUCUGUAUCCAUAUCUACGGAAUAACAUGGAGUGUAUCAAACUAGUUAGGGCUGUCUGUGUCCAUAUCUACUGAAUAACAUGGAGUGUAUCAAACUAGUUAGGGCUGUCUGUAUCCAUAUCUACUGAAUAACAUGGAGUGUAUCAAACUAGUUAGGGCUGUCUGUAUCCAUA
Molecule: long non-coding RNA, 1507 nt
Filed under: Salmo salar (Atlantic salmon)
Lineage: Eukaryota; Metazoa; Chordata; Actinopteri; Salmoniformes; Salmonidae
Description: lncRNA (ENSSSAG00000118844.1)
Source: RNAcentral